UACAGAGGGGGCAAGCGUUGUUCGGAAUUACUGGGCGUAAAGGGCGCGUAGGCGGCCUUCUUAGUCGGACGUGAAAUCCCCAGGCUCAACUUGGGAACUGCGUCCGAUACUGGAUGGCUUGAGUGCGGGAGAGGGAUGUGGAAUUCCAGGUGUAGCGGUGAAAUGCGUAGAUAUCUGGAGGAAUACCGGUGGCGAAGGCGGCAUCCUGGACCGGCAUUGACGCUGAGGAGCGAAAGCCAGGGGAGCAAACGGG
RNAcentral lists this ribosomal RNA (253 nucleotides) under uncultured bacterium. RNAcentral describes it as "partial 16S ribosomal RNA". It matches the Rfam family "Bacterial small subunit ribosomal RNA", at positions 524 to 776 of the family's 1533-position model. The record is from RNAcentral.